CUUAUCUUAGAAGGUUGUCAGAGAUCUACUCUGUUUAUGCAAGUGAGAAAUACGUUUUGAAUUAUAAGACCUCAAUUUCAGAAGUCCAAGCUCUCCUCAAACUCAGAGUUUUGGAGGCUACAAGUCCAAAAUCAAGUUGUCAGCAGGGUCACUACAGGUGUGACAUUCUGACACCAUGCGUGGUACACACCCUUGGGAAUUCUGAAUUCCAC
This is a long non-coding RNA of Gorilla gorilla gorilla (western lowland gorilla), 212 nucleotides long. RefSeq lists it as uncharacterized. Lineage: Eukaryota; Metazoa; Chordata; Mammalia; Primates; Hominidae. The record is from RefSeq and is a predicted model, not a curated record. The transcript is spliced from 3 exons.